Molecule: ribosomal RNA, 435 nt
Filed under: uncultured bacterium
Lineage: Bacteria
Description: partial 16S ribosomal RNA
Rfam family: Bacterial small subunit ribosomal RNA
Source: RNAcentral
AGCGAACGCUGGCGGCAGGCUUAACACAUGCAAGUCGAGCGGGCAUAGCAAUAUGUCAGCGGCAGACGGGUGAGUAACGCGUGGGAACGUACCUUUUGGUUCGGAACAACUGAGGGAAACUUCAGCUAAUACCGGAUAAGCCCUUACGGGGAAAGAUUUAUCGCCGAAAGAUCGGCCCGCGUCUGAUUAGCUAGUUGGUGAGGUAAUGGCUCACCAAGGCGACGAUCAGUAGCUGGUCUGAGAGGAUGAUCAGCCACAUUGGGACUGAGACACGGCCCAAACUCCUACGGGAGGCAGCAGUGGGGAAUAUUGGACAAUGGGCGCAAGCCUGAUCCAGCCAUGCCGCGUGAGUGAUGAAGGCCCUAGGGUUGUGAAGCUCUUUUGUGCGGGAAGAUAAUGACGGUACCGCAAGAAUAAGCCCCGGCUAACUUCGUG